CCUGCACCCCUCAGCGGUAUCUGGAAAUAUUUUUGGUUGUCAUGAGGGGGUGGGGUACAGGCCAGGGGUGCUGCUUAGCAUCUGGACAGCCCCCACUAUGGAGAAUCAUGAGGCUGAGAAAGCUCCCCAGGCCGGGGCUCUCCUGUGAGGCAAGUCUCCUGGCAGUCUUCAGGUGUGGCAGGGGUUGGGGUGGGCCCGGGGGUCACGUCCCAGCUCAGCUGGUCCUGAGAAGCUGCCUGGUAGACAGUCACCGGCACAGAGAGCUGGAAAGUGCCCUCGACCCCAGAACCUGGGUCCUGUGAGGAUAUCCACCCUGUGUGAGGCCAGGGAGUGCUCAGCAGAUGGGGGCAGCAGGGGGUGUCAGCAUGGGUGGGGGUUCCUGCCAAGGCAGGCAGCUGAGCUGGCCCCACCUCAGAGUGCAGGGGCCCUCAGCUUGAUCUUUUCUGGGCUCCACUCUUGACUGAUGGACCCAUGGGGCACCCUGGCCCCACCCUGCCUGCCUUGCCCCAGCUCCUGCCCUUGCCCUGUAGGGCUCUGUGGCCUCCCCUGUGCCUGUGUGCCCGGCUCACUAGACCCUGGACCUGCGGUCCCUCAGCUCCACUCUAGUCCCCUUACUCUGUCCCUCUACUGCCUGGCGUCGCUCAGCUCCUCCCUGCCUGUCCAGGGCCCAGCAUCCUGUGCCCAUGACCUCACAUCUGUCCCUCUGCCCGGGUCCCCCACUCACCUGUGUUUUGGUCCAUCUUUGUCUGCUGACCCCACUAUAGAUUUUAAAGAUACAAAUAUGCAUGCACGUGGUUAAAAACUCGCUGAUGUCAGAUGGCUGGGAUGAAAGGACUGCCUGCUGCCUUUCCUCUUGUAGUGCUCAGACACCUCUGCAGGGGAAGCUCCUUGUUUUUUUUGUUGUUGUUUUUUUUUUUCACUUCUUAUUUUGAAAUAAUUAUAGAUUCACAGGAAGUUGCAAAAAAAAAAAACAAAACAAAACCCGUGGGAGAGAUCGCACGGACCCCUCCCCAAUUCCCCUGAUUGCACACACAGGGCAUAUCUGGAGUCUCUGGAUUUGUGUGUCUUACUUUGUGCGUCUGUGCACGCAUGUGUAUAACUGCAGUUUUAUCACGUGUGAAUAUCUGUGGCCAUCCUCAGGCCCACGCGGCUUCCUGCUCCUGCCCCUGAAUGGGCACCCCCAACACCCCGAAACCUGUUCUCAGCUGUAAAAUCGUGUCAUUUCAGGAGUGUCAUAGAUGGAUGCAUCGGCCUGUCACUUUUUAGCCUUACCCUUUUCCCUCACCAUAGUGCCCUCAGAUCCACCCACUUCUGUCCAUCUCCAGCUCCCUGUUCUUGCUGAGAAGUCCUCCAUGGUGUAGUGGCACCUUGAUUCUCCCUUUCUGGCUGUUACCAGUAGAGCUGGCUGCUGUGAGCUUUCGCUGCAGGUUUUGUGUGAGCUGCAGUCUUCGUUUCUCAGUGAUCCAUGCCCGGAAGUGAGAGGGCCAGGUCGUGGAGUAGUUGCUUGUUUGGUGUUGUGAGGACCUGCACCCUGUCUUCCAGAGGGCCACCCAUUUUGCCUCCCCACCAGCAGCAUGCCAGUGACCUGGUUUCUCCUCAUGCUGGCCAGUGUUCAGGUUCACCACUGCAUCUGUCUGGGCCACAUCGCCUGUGUUUCCCUGGUGGCGUGGUGACCUUUUCGCAGCACACCUGCGGCUGCCCCUCUGUGCUGUCCUUGCUGUUCCUCCCGUCAUCUUAGCUCAUGUGUGUAAAUGACAUAUGUUCCCCUCCCUUGUGGGUGUUGUUUUUGAUGUCCUGUGACCGCUGUCCUGGAGUGUGGGCCAGAUUCACUGGCUGUCACAGCUGGCUAUGCCCACCCUCCCUGCGGCAGGGUCCGCAGUGAGACCUGUGCCUACUGGUUCUGGGUGAUGAGCGUGAACGUUCUCUGUGGCUGCUGGCACGUGGGCAUGACCACAGGGUAGAGUGAGACUGCAGAGAUGAGGGCAGCAGGCCCCUGCUUGGCACCUGAAGCUCUGGGCAACUGGCAAGGACUGAGCCCUCUCCUGGCUGGAAGGGGCUGGGCCACCUGCUCGUGGGCUCGUCUCUGGAAGGCCCUCUGGGGGUCUUACUACCUCCCUGUCUCAGCUCCCACCGGCCUGUGAAGCCCUGUGCAGUCCACACCUGCAAUCAACCCCAGCCAUGGAGGUGGCUGUACCCCAGGUGUCUCCACUUAGUGCCCCCCCCCCGACAUGCCCCACGCUGCCCGGCCUCUCCUCUUCCCACCAUCCGUCUGGUCAGGGGUCAUUCUUGUGGUGCCUGCCCAAAUCCUUUGAGGAGGGCUGCCUGGAGCGCAGGCUCCAGGAACACUCGGAAGUGUCUGGCUUCCUCCUGGAGUGUGACAGCUCCGUGCAGGGCGCGCUGCAGAAGCACCUCGCGCUAUACAGGAUCCGGCGGAAGGUCACGGUGGAGCCGCACCCGGAGCUGCGAGUGUGGGCGGUGUUGCCCAGUUCCCCUGAGGCCUGCGGGGCUGCAUCGCUGCAGGAGAGGGCAGGGGCUGCCGCCAUCCUCAUCCGCGACCCGCGAACAGCACGCAUGGGGUGGCGGCUCCUCACCCAGGAUGAAGGCCCAGCCCUGGUGCCCGGCGGCCGGCUCGGGGACUUGUGGGAUUAUCACCAGCACCGAUACCUGCAAGGCGUUCCUGAGGGGGUCCGAGACUUGCCUCCUGGGGUGGCCCUGCCCCUGGAGUCCAACCUGGCCUUCAUGAAUGGCGUGAGCUUCACCAAAGGCUGCUACAUUGGCCAGGAGCUGACGGCCCGCACCCACCACAUGGGCGUCAUCCGCAAGCGCCUCUUCCCUGUCCGGUUCUUGGACCCCCUUCCCACCAGUGGCAUCACCCCUGGUGCCACGGUGCUGACUGCCUCAGGACAGACUGUGGGCAAGUUCAGGGCUGGCCAGGGCAACGUGGGGCUGGCCCUGCUGUGGUCAGAGAAGAUCAAGGGUCCUCUGCACAUCAGAGCCUCUGAGGGUGCUCAGGUGGCCUUAGCCGCAUCUGUGCCAGACUGGUGGCCUACGGUCUCCAAGUAGUCUGAAGCCUUGGCUGGCGCAGGCUGAUGGGGAGGCUGGGGCCUGGGGCCUUUGGCCUCUGUCCAGGGUCUUCCCGUCCCAUCUGUCUGCUGCGCCUACUGGGUGGGAGCCCUGGUUUCCAUCUGGGAAAGUCCCCCUUGUAGGUGCCCUGCCUGGCCCCACCCAUGCUCAGGGGCCCCAGGCACGUGGGUUGUUUUCUCCCUGGACUUCCUGUGGCCCCAGAGGAGCCCACCGUGUGAGUGCUGGGCUCCAGAUGGCGCCGGGUCCCAAUCGUGGCUCCACACAAGGUUGUCUGGGAGGACGGGACGGUGUCUCUGGCCAGCACUGGCAGCUUCCGGGCCUUGUACCCUACUCUGCCUAGCAUGAGCCUCAUGGGGGGUUGGUCCCUGUGCCUGGAAGCUGGGCGGUGUCCAGGGUCUGCAGGCUGGGGCUCGGGCUUUGGGAGUUGUUUCACUGUGCUUGCUUCCAGCAUGUCUCAGGGUGGGGCUAUGCGUGGUCUAGAGGGGUCUGGGGCAUUGGAUCAGGUGGCAUGUGGGUGUCUACACAUCAAAGAGCACACAGGGAUGAGCCACUAGGUAUCCCAUGCUGGAGGCUUGUGGAAGGCUGUGCCCAUCUCCCAUGUUUCCCCACCUCUGUUCCUCCUCAGAGCCCUCCAGGAGCGUGGGGUGGGGGCCAGCGCAGGGCUCAGGAGCCAGCAGGGCAGAGUUCUGCCUGUGUGUGCUAGGUUUUGGCAUAGCCUGUGUUUGCAGUGAGAGUGACUUGCUGUCAGUCACGGGGCACAGCCUCCUGUUCACCCACUGGCUUCCCCCUUCCCACUGAAGUGUGAGCUCUAUGUUUCAGGGCAUCUAUUAAAGAGUGAGCCACAGGCAGCCCCUUGGGAGCUCUGGUUUCAUUUGGGGGAGAGGGAGGUUGGGGGCUUAGUUUUUGUGAUCUGGCUGACUGGACCCCGGGAACAGCGCUCCUUUGAGAACGCCCAGACCUACCAGAUGAAGCACUUGGCAUGGCUGCAGGCCAGCAGGGGAGGCCUCAGAGGCCCAGGCUGGGCGCGUGGGUGCCGAGUCUGCAAAGGACAGCCCCAUGGCUGUGAGCUGUCGGCUGCAGGGCGCAGGGCCUGGGGGGCAGGCGUUUGGGCCACCAAGCUGGACGUUAGGGUGGCCACAGAGGGCCAAGCAGGCAGGGAGCCUGUGCUGCCAUCCUGGGGGGCCACAGGUGCUCUCUAGAAAUCUGCAGCCAUGGCGGUUUUGGGGUCAGGGGUCUAAAGGCAGCUCUGAGCUGCAGUGUAGUUUGUGAUCACCUAGGAGGAGGGUGUAGAGCGGAUGGACAGGAGGAAGCGGCUGCAGCUGGAGGGAAGAGAAGGGCCGUCCAGCCUCACCCGCUGCAGUCAGCUCUCCCAUGGGCAAGGAAACAGCUAGGUGGCCCUGACCCCUGCGGUCCUGAGAGCCGGUGGCCUUCAGCCCCUCUUGGACAGGUCAUGGUCUGGAAGUGCCCAGCGCAGGAUGGAUUCCAGACCAGCAUCCCUGCAACCUUUUCAGCCCCACUGGCUGCUGCUUUAAACUGGCAUGGAGACAUUUGAUCAGCUUCCCGGCCAGUUUUCUCUCCAGCUCAGCCAGGAGUGGGUGCCUGUGGCCUGUGUCACCAAGAGCUGGUGUCUCCUGCAUGAGAGGCAUGCACCCCUGGAAUGAGGGUCUGUGCCUUGAGCUCAAAGUGUCCCGGCUCUGUCAUCUGCCUGAAGUUGCCUGGCUUUUCCAGCAGGGCCUCCCUGAGUGCUGCAGCAUCUGGGAGCAUCCUAGCCUGUCCCGUGGGUGUGGCUGGGUGAGGGCUAGGAGGUGAGCCAGGAAGGAAGCACUCCGCUCCAGAGUGAGGUGCCGCCUGAGCCAUCCUGUGCCCCCUCAGUGUCUUCAGGUCUCUGCAGGUGUCAGGAUCUCAAAAUACUUGGUUCAGAUCAAACACAUUUCGUGUUCUUCUGUGUCCUUUUUUUUUUUUUUUUUUUUUUUGAGAUGGAGUCUUGCUCUGUUGCCCAGGCUAGAGCUCAGUGGCACAAUCUCUGCCCACUGCAACCUCUGCCUCCCAGGUUCCAGUGAUUUUCCUGCCUCAGCCUCCUGGGUAGCUGGGACUACAGGCACAUGCCCCAUGCCCGGCUAAUUUUUGUAUUUUUAGUAGAGAUGGGGUUUUACUGUGUUGGCCAGGAUGGUCUCAAUUACAGGCAUGAGCCACUGUGCCCAGCCUCUUCUGUGUCUUUAAAAAGGAAAGUGUCAGUCAACAAAAGAGCCCCUCUGUCAUACAAACCAAGUCAGUUUUCACCAAAAUGUCCUUAGUCCUCUCAGAAAGGCCUGGCCUUUAGGACCUUGGAAGCAGGCCCUAAAGCGCAUCGGCAGGGUCAGAGCUUUGUGUUCAGGAACACUGGGAUCUGCUGAGAGCUGGUGUAGCCGCUCCAAAACUGCACACUGCUUUUCCUGUCUGCUUUAGUUUGUGUUGUAAAAACAUAGGAAGUUCGUGUGUGUGUGUGUGUGUGUGUGUGUGUGAAUUCAAGGCAUAAGCUGCAGUUGUGUUAUGUGGGUAUAGUGCAUGGUGGUGCAGUCUGGGCUUCUUACCCUCACACCUCCUGCCUCCCCUUGUUAGAGUCCCCCGCAUCCACCUUCCACUUUCUGAACCCACAUUGCCUGUUGGGCAGCUCCUGGUUGUGAGGCAGGACGUGUGGUGUUUGACUGUCUGUUUCUGAGCUGUUUUACUUAACACAGUGUAUAUGGUGCAUCUUUAGGAGAGCAUGCUUAUAUUUUCCUUUCAAAGCCAGAUAUGGGCGGGUGUGGUGGCUCAUGCCUGUGAUCCCAGCACUUUGGGAGGCUGAGGCAGGAGGAUUGCUUGAGCCCAGGAGUUUGAGAGCAGCCUGGGCAACAUAUCAAGACUCUGUCUCUUAAAAAAAAAAAAAUCAGCCAGGCAUGGUGGUCCACACCUGUGGUCCCACCUAUUCGGGAGGCUGAAGUGCGAGGAUCACUUGAGCCCAGGAGGUUGAGGCUGCAGUGAGCUGUGAUUGUGCCACUGCACUCCAGCCUGGGCAACAGAGCAAGACCCUGUCUUAAAACAAAGAAAGAAUAAAAAAGAAGAGAAGUUGCAGUUGGUAGUAUUUCCAGAGCCCGGCAGACAGUGUAGAAACUGUGAGAAACCCACCUCCAAAUCAGGCCUUAGAUAGAAAACAUCCUAAGAAGUAUACGUUCAUUGUAAAAUCAUUAUCGUCAUUAUCUUCUAAUCCCCAAGGAGACAAGCUCCCUGUUCUGUGUUCUUGUAUGAGGCGGUCAGUCAAGCGCAGCCCGAGAGGAGAGGCGGGAGCCCGGGAGAGCCUCUGCUAGACCUUUCCUGGCGCUUCCCCAGGAAAGGCAAGGCAGGGCAGAUGUGCGGCUGGCCAGCUGGAGUGAUUUCCAUGGGCUCCAAGCUGUAGGAGUGGUCCCUGGCUGCCAGAGUGCUCUGGCCAGAUAGAGGUGGGCUCUGGACUGGUGAGGCUGCAUCGCAGAGGCGUGCACACCAAGCUGGGCCCUUAUCUGUAAGGACUGGCUGGCCUGGGAGGGGCAGUCUCACAGCCAGAAGGUGGAAUUUUUUUUUUUUUUUUUGAGAUAUCAAAACAUCCUAAGGUACAGGAAAGAAAUUGUCAACACACACACAGUACCAUAAACAAGGCCCAGCAGAAAGGCAGACAGAAGCACACACACCAAUGUUCUGAUCUUAGAGUAAGCAGACACAUCACAUGGAAUGAGGAUGUUUAAUAUAUUUAAAGAAAACAAUUUAUGCACAGGAAGCAAGAGACUAUAAAAAUGACCAAGCAGAUUUUAAAAAGAGAACUUGUUGAAAUAAAAAUAAAAUACUCUAAAAAAUAAUCCAUGAUGUGUUUCCUGAAGAAUCGGGAACUGUUUGAAGAAAUGACCCCAAAGUGCAGCACAGAAAGACAGAGCUGGAAAAUAUGAGAUGGGAUGAGACAAGAAGAUGGAGAGUUUAGUAUGACAUCCGCAAUUUACGAGUAAUUCCAGAAGGAGGGGAAAGAGAAUAUGGGGUGGAGGCAAGUAUUCAGAGAAAUACGGCUGAGAACUUUCCCAAACCGACAGGAGCCCCUGCUGCUUAGGUUCAGGAAUCCAGCAGCUCCCAAGCAGCAUAGUUAAAAAGCUCUACCCAAACAGUCACGUCUUGGUGAAAGUACAGAAUCUCAUGACAAAGAGAUCUUAAAAGAAGGCAGAAAAGAAAGAGAUUAUCUGGAAAGAAGAAAAUAAGUAGUUGAUUAAAAGCAACAGUGGAAGCCAGAAAGAUAGUAAAUAAUAUCUUCAAAGUCCUGGGAGAAAAUAGUGAUAGCCUAGAAUUGUGUACCCAGAAAAUCCGUCUUUCAAGAAUGAGGGGCCAGGCGCAGUGGCUCACGUCUGUAUUCCCAGCACUUUGGGAGGCCAAGGCAGUUGGAUCACCUGAGGUCAGGAGUUCAAGACCAGCCUGAUCAACAUGGUGAAACCCUGUCUCUACUAAAAAUACAAAAAUUAGCUGGGUGUGGUGGCAUAUGCCUGUAAUCCCAGCUACUCGGGAGGCUGAGGCAGGAGAAUCACUUGAACCUGGGAGGCAGAGGUUGCAGUGAGCCAAGAUUGUGCCAUUGCACUCCAGCCUGGGCAAUAGAAUGAGACUCUGUCUCAAAAAAGAAAAAAAAAAAAGAGGGCUAAACGCAUUUUCAUACCACGAAACUGCCCUCACUCCAGAGUUUGCUGCCAGCAGAGCCUAGAGCGUCUAAGGCAUGUCUGGGCUUCUGGCGAGGGAUCCUCUGGGGAAGCUGGAGAUGGAAGGAGUGAAUAGGCAGGAAGGUGGAUUUGUGGGCAUGUCUAAAACACCACAUCUAGAAGCUUCUACUUAGAAUGCCUACUUUUGGAGUUUAUAAAAAAGAUGCCACAUGUUGAGUUGGGAGAGAGGUGCCCAAACCUACAGUGUUCUAAAGUCCCCCUACUGGUCGGAAGGAGGGCACUUACACUGACUUCAGCAUCUGUUACAAGGCUUAUCAAAGUUUUCAGAUAAUCUCUAAAAGAAUGGAAAUAUAUCUUCCAAACUAUAGAGGGAAGACCAUGGAAUUUAAAAGCCAGUCCUUCAAGGAGAAAUGAACAAACUCAAAAUCGUAGUUGGGAGUGUUUUUUUUUUUUUUCUCUGAGACAGGGUCUCACUCUUGCCCAGGCUGGAGUGGAGUGGCAUAAACACAGCUCACUACAGCCUCAACCUCCUGGGCUCAGAUGAUCCUCCUGCCUCAGCCUCCUGAGUAGCAGGAACUACAGGUGUGAGUCAUCACACUCAGCUAAUUUUUUUUUUUUUUUUUUUUUUUUACUUUUUGUAGAGAUGGGGGUCUCACUGCGUUGCCCAGGCUGGUCUUGAAUUUCUGGGCUCAGGUGAUCUUCCCACCUCAGCCUCCUGAGUAGCUGGGACCACAGGUGCAUGCUAAUUUUUAAAAUUUUUUGUUUUUAAAUGCUGGUCUUCAACUCUUGUCCCCAAGUAGCUGGGACUGGGGCAUGAGGCACUGUGCUAACUUCAUGUUGAAAUUGAAUUGCCAUUCUAACAGUGUUAAGAGAUGGGGCCUGUAAGAGGUGAUUUGGCUGUGAGGGCUCCACUCUCCAAGGGCGGAGUUAAUGUUAUGAAAGGGUAAGUCCAGCCCGCUUGUUCCUCUCUUGCCCUCCAGUGUUCAAAGCACCAUCUUGGAGGUGGAAUUCCCAAGUCGGCCAGUUCCUGGAUCUUGGACUGUCCGGUCUCCAGAACCGUGAGCCAAUAAACCUCUGUUCCUUGUAAAUGAGUCAGCCUCAGGUAUUCUCUUGUAGCAGCACAAAUGGAGGCAGACACUUCCUUCACCAAUCUCAUGGGAGGCCCACUCCUGUGAGCUGCCUCCAGUUCCCCAGGCCACAGACUCCAUCAGGGCUCACCUGGAGCCAUCCCUGUCUCACCUGGAAGCUCUCCCACUCCUCUGGCCAGCCUGGGCAUCUCCACCCAAUAUGAGUGAUGGCGACUGAUUCCCUUACUUUAGCAAGCUGGGAAUAAGGAAUGUUUGCCUGUUCUUAUUCAGGGGUCUCUGCAUCUCCACACUUGCACAGGUUGUGUGUACAUACAUUUUCCUGUCUUUCUGGUAAGCCCCUGGGGUGGAGCUCUGGGCCACAGGGCAGGAAAACUCAGUGUUGCUAGGAACUGCCAGACAUUUUCCCGGAGUGAGUGCAGCAUUUACAUUCCCACCAGAAGUGUGCCAGGUUCCUGUCAUCCUGCGUCCUCGCCAGCGCUUGGUGCUGUCAGUCUUCUUAGUUUCCAUUUAGAGAUUCAGUGUUUAAAUUUUGAACGUCUUGGGUGAACACCUUGGUUUGAGAAAAGUAAGAAAAAGGGUCUGUCUGGCUAUGGGCCAUGGAGACCCAGGGCAGUGCUCCACGUGCCAACCCUGGGGCAGGGAGCCCAAGCUAGGACUGUGACUGUCUGGGCUGUGGGCAUCUGACCAUCUCCAGUGUCCCCGUCUUUGAUUUCCCUGGCGAUGGUGCUAGCUUAGUUUGUGCGCGUCGGCAUUUGUGGGAGAAAUGAAGGAUUAAUACAUUUUGUUUUAUGUCAGACUCUCUCAGUGAGAAGUUCUCAGGGACAAUAAUAGCAGGGGGUCCUGCUGAAGAAAAACUGGGAGAUGGCUGAGCUCUGGUACAUCUUUCAUUGAUUCAUUCAUUUCUUCAUUCAUUCAACCAUGUAUUGAAUGCUUAUAGCCAAUGAAAAUAAAGUACACAGUAUAUUUUA
RNAcentral lists this small RNA (9819 nucleotides) under Pan troglodytes (chimpanzee). RNAcentral's name for it is "processed transcript". Lineage: Eukaryota; Metazoa; Chordata; Mammalia; Primates; Hominidae. The record is from RNAcentral.